GUAGGGAGUAUUGGGCAAUGGUCGGAAGACUGACCCAGCCAUGCCGCGUGCAGGAAGACGGCCCUCUGGGUUGUAAACUGCUUUUAUCUGGGAAGAAAAAGGCCAUGCGUGGCAAAUUGCCGGUACCAGAUGAAUAAGCACCGGCUAACUCCGUGCCAGCAGCCGCGGUAAUACGGAGGGUGCGAGCGUUGUCCGGAUUUAUUGGGUUUAAAGGGUGCGUAGGCGGCUGAUUAAGUCAGCGGUGAAAGACUUCGGCUUAACCGGAGCAGUGCCGUUGAUACUGGUUGGCUUGAGUGUCGGAGGGGUACAUGGAAUUGAUGGUGUAGCGGUGAAAUGCAUAGAUACCAUCAGGAACACCGAUAGCGAAGGCAUUGUACUGGCCGACAACUGACGCUGAUGCACGAAAGUGUGGGGAUCGAACAGGAUUAGAAACCCGUGUAGUCC
RNAcentral lists this ribosomal RNA (444 nucleotides) under uncultured bacterium. Its description in RNAcentral is "partial 16S ribosomal RNA". It matches the Rfam family "Bacterial small subunit ribosomal RNA", at positions 354 to 796 of the family's 1533-position model. The record is from RNAcentral.